UCCGUUGCAGUUAGCACCUCUCUCCUUCCGGUGCUGGUGCCCAUAUCAAUAAAUCCAAUAAAUAAGGAUUUCAAAGAUCAAGGUGGUCGAAAAUGUCAAAAGAAAAGAAAGAAAAAAAGGAUACCCAGCUCAUCAUUACACAGCUAAUUAACAUUUUAUCAAAAUUAUCACAGCAAACGUACGCGAACGGGAACUAUACUAUACGGUUCAAGGAAUCAUCAGUAAAAUCGUAAAAUCCAAUCAAGACCCUCAAGGGAAGUUAUUUAUGCCACCCCUUUUUCCUUUGGGAUGAUGUGCCAUCUGUGAUGCAGAGGAGUUUGGUACCAGUAAGUAAUGUGUAUAUGGCUAUAUAACCAGACUACCCGGAAGGAAUAAUAAUCACAAUUCUCCACAAUGCAAUUUUUCAUCAUGCACAAUAACAACAAAAACAAGAUAUCCUGCACCUCACAGGAUGACAUCACAGUCGCAUUCAUGUCGAGAUGGUGGUCACCCUUGUCCUAGACACACAAA
Episyrphus balteatus (marmalade hoverfly) is the source of this 510-nucleotide long non-coding RNA. RefSeq lists it as uncharacterized. The transcript has 3 exons. The record is from RefSeq and is a predicted model, not a curated record. Lineage: Eukaryota; Metazoa; Arthropoda; Insecta; Diptera; Syrphidae.